RNAcentral lists this ribosomal RNA (276 nucleotides) under uncultured Gammaproteobacteria bacterium. Its description in RNAcentral is "partial 16S ribosomal RNA". It matches the Rfam family "Bacterial small subunit ribosomal RNA", at positions 39 to 317 of the family's 1533-position model. The record is from RNAcentral. Lineage: Bacteria; Pseudomonadati; Pseudomonadota; Gammaproteobacteria.
UGCGGGGGGCCCAAACCAUGCAAGUCGAACGGUAGCAGGAUGUGCUUGCACAUCGCUGACGAGUGGCGGACGGGUGAGUAAUGCUUGGGAACUUGCCUUUGCGAGGGGGAUAACAGUUGGAAACGACUGCUAAUACCGCAUAAUGUCUACGGACCAAACGGGGCUUUUAGCUCCGGCGCAAAGAGAGGCCCAAGUGAGAUUAGCUAGUUGGUGAGGUAAAGGCUCACCAAGGCCACGAUCACUAUCUGUUCUGAGAAGAAGAUCACUCACCCUGAG